RNAcentral lists this ribosomal RNA (497 nucleotides) under uncultured bacterium. RNAcentral describes it as "partial 16S ribosomal RNA". It matches the Rfam family "Bacterial small subunit ribosomal RNA", at positions 28 to 507 of the family's 1533-position model. The record is from RNAcentral.
GAUGAACGCUGGCGGCGUGCCUAAUACAUGCAAGUCGAGCGAACGGACGAGGAGCUUGCUUCUCUGAUGUUAGCGGCGGACGGGUGAGUAACACGUGGAUAACCUACCUAUAAGACUGGGAUAACUUCGGGAAACCGGAGCUAAUACCGGAUAAUAUUUUGAACCGCAUGGUUCAAAAGUGAAAGACGGUCUUGCUGUCACUUAUAGAUGGAUCCGCGCUGCAUUAGCUAGUUGGUAAGGUAACGGCUUACCAAGGCAACGAUGCAUAGCCGACCUGAGAGGGUGAUCGGCCACACUGGAACGGAGACACGGUCCAGACUCCUACGGGAGGCAGCAGUAGGGAAUCUUCCGCAAUGGGCGAAAGCCUGACGGAGCAACGCCGCGUGAGUGAUGAAGGUCUUCGGAUCGUAAAACUCUGUUAUUAGGGAAGAACAUAUGUGUAAGUAACUGUGCACGUCUUGACGGUACCUAAUCAGAAAGCCACGGCUAACUACGUG